GGGUGAGUAAUACAUCGGAACGUGUCCGCUCGUGGGGGACAACCAGCCGAAAGGUUGGCUAAUACCGCAUGAGUUCUACGGAAGAAAGAGGGGGACCCGCAAGGGCCUCUCGCGAGCGGAGCGGCCGAUGACUGAUUAGCCGGUUGGUGAGGUAACGGCUCACCAAAGCAACGAUCAGUAGCUGGUCUGAGAGGACGACCAGCCACACUGGGACUGAGACACGGCCCAGACUCCUACGGGAGGCAGCAGUGGGGAAUUUUGGACAAUGGGCGCAAGCCUGAUCCAGCUAUUCCGCGUGUGGGAUGAAGGCCCUCGGGUUGUAAACCACUUUUGUAGAGAACGAAAAGACACCUUCGAAUAAAGGGUGUUGCUGACGGUACUCUAAGAAUAAGCACCGGCUAACUACGUGCCAGCAGCCGCGGUAAUACGUAGGGUGCGAGCGUUAAUCGGAAUUACUGGGCGUAAAGGGUGCGCAGGCGGUUGAGUAAGACAGAUGUGAAAUCCCCGAGCUUAACUCGGGAAUGGCAUAUGUGACUGCUCGACUAGAGUGAGUCAGAGGGAGGUGGAAUUCCACGUGUAGCAGUGAAAUGCGUAGAUAUGUGGAAGAACACCGAUGGCGAAGGCAGCCUCCUGGGACAUAACUGACGCUCAGGCACGAAAGCGUGGGGAGCAAACAGGAUUAGAUACCCUGGUAGUCCACGCCCUAAACGAU
Molecule: ribosomal RNA, 712 nt
Filed under: uncultured bacterium
Lineage: Bacteria
Description: bacterial SSU rRNA
Rfam family: Bacterial small subunit ribosomal RNA
Source: RNAcentral